GAUGAACGCUAGCGGCAGGCUUAACACAUGCAAGUCGAGGGGCAACACGGGUAGCAAUACCUGGUGGCGACCGGCGCAAGGGUGCGUAACGCGUGAGCAACAUGCCCUAUACAGGGGGAUAAUCCAGGGAAACUUGGUCUAAUAUCCCAUAGUAUUUAGAGGUGGCAUCACCACUAAAUUAAAGCUUCGGUGGUAUAGGAUUGGCUCGCGUGACAUUAGCUGGAUGGUGGGGUAACGGCUCACCAUGGCGAUGAUGUCUAGGGGUUCUGAGAGGAAGACCCCCCACACUGGGACUGAGACACGGCCCAGACUCCUACGGGAGGCAGCAGUGAGGAAUAUUGGACAAUGGAUGGAAAUCUGAUCCAGCCAUGCCGCGUGCAGGAAGACGGCCCUAUGGGUUGUAAACUGCUUUUAUAUGGGAGCAAAUAGGUUUACGCGUAGACCGAUGAGAGUACCAUAUGAAUAAGCAUCGGCUAACUCCGUG
RNAcentral lists this ribosomal RNA (484 nucleotides) under uncultured bacterium. RNAcentral's name for it is "bacterial SSU rRNA". It matches the Rfam family "Bacterial small subunit ribosomal RNA", at positions 28 to 507 of the family's 1533-position model. The record is from RNAcentral.